This 2120-nucleotide long non-coding RNA is filed under the name Olea europaea subsp. europaea. The record is from RNAcentral. Lineage: Eukaryota; Viridiplantae; Streptophyta; Magnoliopsida; Lamiales; Oleaceae.
AAACAUUUUCCCACUUUAUACACCACAAAUUGAACCCCAACCUCACAAGUGCGGCGCCGCCAUCUACCCUCCGUCUCUCUCACUGAAACUCAUCCAUUCGCUUUCUUUGCCCUGAUAAAGGAAAAAAUUCCUCACUUAUUCAUACUCAUUUUUCUGAACUACAGCUAUCGAUAGCUUGGAGGCAUCAAAUGCUAUAUUUCUGGUACUGUGAUUUCCAUGCUUGCUGCUAUUCUGGUCUCUGAUGUUUUUGGUAUGUAUUUUCUAAAGUAUUUGAUUAUGGGUAUUGUAAAAUUUCAAUCUUGUGUUGAUUUACUGUUCCUUCUGUAGAGUUUUUAUUUUAUUUUUAAUUUUUUUUACAAAAUACAGGUGGUAAAAAUUAUUUAUAUUCAUGAACGUGUGUGUCAAUUCUAGGUUCCUUUUGGACAAGUUAGAUUUGUGUAUAAUAAAGUGGUUUAUAUCACAACAAGAUUUCAUUUUUGUUGCAUAUUUCAAUGGGGUUUUUCUUAUUUAAGUGUUGGUUGUUUGUAGGCUAAAUGAAAAAGGAUACCCUCGUAAUUAUAAUUUCACUGCCUAAUAGGAAAGGUUUUGUUUAUUUUCAUUAUUAUAGGAUUUUGGUGUUGCAAAGUUUGUAUCUUAUUGCUUAAUAUGGUAUUGAUGAUUUUUAAGACAUCUAAGCUUCUAUUCAUAUUCUGUUUUUCUUGGGCUUAGAAGUUAAUUAACAUUUUUUUGUAGAUGCCAAGCUAGUUGCUUUCAAGCUACUCAUCUUGCACAUGCGACUCGAGUAUUGACAUGCCUCUAGCAGAAAUGUUUUUCUUGUUUAAAUUCAUUUCACACUUUUUUUUCCAUUUAUUUAUCUUCCUUUAACUAAAGGAACCGAUAGAAGGUGAUCCAGGUAUUUGAGAACUGAAGCGAGGAUGAUGAUCAAUAUGACGUGAAGCAAGUUAAUUUCUAUAUUUUAUUUAUUACGAGAGAAAAAACAAUUCUCUCUUUUUGUGUUCAAAUUAAAGAAGCCUCCCUUCUAUUCGAGAGCUAAAUAUAGUCCUAGAAAGUUUGAUUAUGUUUGUUGAAAAGAUAGAUCUCAUUCUCUUCACUAUAAGGGAAGCAGUACUUAAUUAGAAUAUAAUUGUCACAUAGUCUUUUGGCUAAUUUUCAGAAACUAAAAGGGGAUAUAGGUUUGUUGUAAGAAGUGGAAGUGGAUAUACUUGCAUCCCAUGUAUAUCAUGUCAACCUGCUGUACACUAAUAUAUCCUUGUUUAUAGAAAUAAAUAUUUAUUAUUAUUUUUACAUUCUUAUUUUUCUCAUUUGGUUUGAUCUAUGCAGGAUAUGAAGCUCCUAACUUGAGGUACUUAAUCUUUAUUUUUCCCCCUAGAUUAGGAUAAGAUUCUACUCAUUGUACUUGUUAUUAUAGAACUUAUUGAUUUUGCAGAUGUUUCUUCCCUUUUCUUGGCAUAUGUUUGAUAUCCUUGUGUACCUAACUUGCUAGAUUCCUACAUACCCAUGUCAAAUUAAUGUAAAGCUAUAUAAUGUUGAGAUUCUAACUUGCUAGUUUCUUGAGUAGGGAUUUGAUAGUGGUUGUAGAAUCUUUAAUGGAAUCAGAGGUGGAUUUAAUAGUCUUGGUUUUGUUCUGGGCAGAAUCAAAAGGAAGUUUAAUAAACUUGGUUAGGUUCUUGAAUGAACCAAUAUUGGAUUUAACGAGCUUGGUUUUGUUCUUGGAUAAACUUGCAUUGGAUUAAAUGACCUUGGUUGUAUUUUUUGAGGAAGUAUGGUACAAGUAGUUUUCUUCUUAGUAACUGGCUCAUCUUCUUUUACCUAUAAUAUUGAUCUACUACCAAAACUAUUUGGUUGGUUUGGAGAGCAGAAUUUUGAAGUCAAGAAAACCAAGAGAAGACGCAAAAACAAUACCCUUUUCAGACUGAAAUCUUGGAGUGGAGCCAUAUGUUGAAAUGUACUGAAAUCUAUGUUUGUUUUCCUUUAGAAAUCUCUUAUGAGGCUUUUCCAAGAAUUUUAGGCCUUAGUUGGAUCUAGAUUUUAGGAAAUGUGUGGGUGUGUGUAAAAAGUUGUUCUGAAGUAUAGGAAAUAAGGAAAAGACCGUUAAUGCGAAGCACACAAGAUUAGAUCAU